UAUUGGUCAAUGGGCUCACGCCUGAACCAGCCAAGUCGCGUGAGGGAAGACUGCCCUAUGGGUUGUAAACCUCUUUUGUCAGGGAGCAACGCCGGCUACGUGUAGCCGGACUGAGAGUACCUGAAGACAAAGCAUCGGCUACCUCCGUGCCAGCAGCCGCGGUAAUACGGAGGAUGCGAGCGUUAUCCGGAUUUAUUGGGUUUAAAGGGUGCGGAGGCGGCCUGUUAAGUCAGCGGUAAAAGCCCGGGGCUCAACCCCGGCGAGCCGUUGAAACUGGCGGGCUGGAGUUGGAGAGAAGUACGCGGAAUGCGCGGUGGAGCGGUGAAAUGCUGAGAUAUCGCGCAGAACCCCGAUUGCGAAGGCAGCGUACCGGCUCCACACUGACGCUGAGGCACGAAAGCGUGGGUAUCGA
This 412-nucleotide ribosomal RNA is filed under the name uncultured bacterium. RNAcentral describes it as "bacterial SSU rRNA". It matches the Rfam family "Bacterial small subunit ribosomal RNA", at positions 362 to 771 of the family's 1533-position model. The record is from RNAcentral.